This 2363-nucleotide long non-coding RNA is filed under the name Lynx pardinus (Iberian lynx). Lineage: Eukaryota; Metazoa; Chordata; Mammalia; Carnivora; Felidae. The record is from RNAcentral.
GUGGGAAAACAAACAAAAAACUAAAUAGACCCCACAGUGGUGGCAGAGAGAGCUUUGAGUAAAUCGAUUUGAUCAAAAUUUGUUAUUGAAUAAUUGCUCGGUUCCUGGUAUAGGGUUAUGUGCUGGGAAGUGCAAGGCUGAAAAAAAAGUGGUCCCUUGAAUAUGUAGCAUAUAAAGGAACCAAGUGAUGGUGCCCUAAUGGUAUUCUGAGUACGAGGUAAGCAACAGAGGAGAGGUUAAUUCUACAAAGGAAGAAGGUAGCUGUCAAGAAAGACUGUGGCAGAGACAACUAGACGUUCUCUGAAAAAAUUUGAAUCCCUACUUUCACAGCAUGAAGUAGGUCCUGGGAGAGGAGUCUCCAGCCAGGAACUGCUUUUUCCAGUCCCCUCUGCAUCCAGAGGGGACUCACCAAUAAGUGUUCUCUGCGUCCAGAGGGGACUCACCAAUAAGUGUUCUCACCAAUAAGAAGGUUGCCCAACAGAAAGUGAGCAGAAGUGAUGUGUUCCACUUCUGGGCUUGGUCUCUCCACUCUUCUUGCUUUUACUGACUAGAAGCAGAAACCUCUGAGGCCCCAGUGGAUGAUGAAGACACUAGAUGGAAGGAACAUACAUCCCUGAAUCACAGUGUGGAAAAAAGGUCUCUGCCAAUAGGAAUAUUGUUAUGCAGGUAAAAAAUAAAAUUAUUUUAAGCCAUUGAAAUUUGGGAAUGUACUUGCUCUAGCAGUUAUUAUCACACUAAUGACUAUAGUAGUUACUCCAAACUGCAUUAUGACAAGUUAGUUUACAUAGGCCAAAUAAUUUUAAGUUGCAAGGAACCUUAUGUAUCUCUCCAAAUUUUUAUUUUAUACAGCAAGAUAUAUGCCUACAAAAGACCCAAGGACACAUUGCUAAUUAGUGAUGAACUUAGGCCUAGAAUCCUAGGCUUUCCUACUACAAUGUCCUUUUAAGUGUGUGUGUAUGUAUGUUAUGACAUUUUAAUAUAACACUUGUGUAAAUCACCCAAUUUAACUUUUUACAAUUGACUUUAAGCCCAUUUCUCUAUAUUGAAUGACCUGAGAACAACUAGCACUAGUCAUGGUUUUUCCUUAUAAUCACCUGCUCUGUGGAUGAAGACAGCUAGUUUUCAUUCAUAUCUUGAUUUUAAGCUAAAAUGUAUAAUUCCUUGAAUUACUUCACAUUUAUUUUAUCUUAGCUGAAUCCUCUUAAAAUUCAUCCUGUAUCUACUGUAUCUUUUCUAAAAUGAGGAGUUGCUUGGUCGAGAGAAUAUUAGGCUGGAAAUAAAAAUUAUACUCCGACAGCUGUGGUAUACCUAUUUAUUACAUGUGAGUCUGGUAAUAGUCUUAAGCAAUUUACAUUUCCAGUAACGCGGCAGAAUGGCAUUUCAUGAUCUACUUCUUGAUGGGUGGGGACUAUCUAUAGAUAGUCAUAUGACUAGUUUUAUUCACUGACUUGUGAGUAGAAGCAGCAUGUGUUACUUCCAGGGCCUAGCUAGUAUUGUUCCAGAACACUUUUUUUUUCCCUUUAGCACAGACAUAAGCAAUGUUCAAGACUGUGGCUGCUCUACCAAACUUUGUCUUUGGAUAAAGAUAUGGAUCCCCCCAACCCCAACCUACGGUGGAUCUGUAGCAGGAACAACAAACAAGCCUUUGUUUUAGGUCUUUCAAUCUUGAGGUUAUUAAGACAGCAUAACCUAACCUAUCCUGACUGAAAUGACACAACAUUAUCAGUGUGACCUUGAAAAAUUCAUUAAAUCUCUUAGAUUUCAAGCCUGUAAUUUGGAAAUUAACUGUUACUUGGAGAUUCAGUUAGAUAAUGAUUGUGAAAAAUACUAGACUAGGAGUCAGAAAGUCUGAGUUUUGCUAUUUACUCUGUCAUUAACUGGUAUAAUUGGGGGGAAUUAUUCCUUCUCUCAUUUAUUCACAAAACGUUUAUUAAGCACCUACUGUGACAAACUGCUAGAAGACAAGAAUUAAUAAAACAUAGUUCUUGCCCUCAUAAGAGCUCACAGGCUGCAUGGGACAGACAGAUUAAAAAUAUAUAGAAAUGUGUUAAGAGGUAUAGUAGAGGUAAGUGCAGGUUAUUACAAGAAGCCCAGAGGAGACUAUUGGCUCGCUCUACAGGGGAGUAAGGGAAAGCAUCACAGAGAAGACAUUUCAAAUUGAACCUUUUUAUUUAAAAAGGUGGCAUUUUCAGCAGGAGGAAUGACAUAUGAAAAUAUUUUACAUAAAAGGACAAUCCCUUUUAUUUCUUUAACUCUGACAUAUCUAGCUUCUCUUUCCUUGUCUUCUUUCUUCUCUUCUCUUUUUAUUUUUAUUUAUUUUUUAUUUUCUCUUCUGGACAGGGGCAUACAGUGGUACUUCUGGU